UAGGGAAUCUUCCACAAUGGGCGAAAGCCUGAUGGAGCAACGCCGCGUGUGUGAUGAAGGCUUUCGGGUCGUAAAGCACUGUUGUAUGGGAAGAACAGCUAGAAUAGGAAAUGAUUUUAGUUUGACGGUACCAUACCAGAAAGGGACGGCUAAAUACGUGCCAN
This 164-nucleotide ribosomal RNA is filed under the name uncultured bacterium. RNAcentral describes it as "partial 16S rRNA". It matches the Rfam family "Bacterial small subunit ribosomal RNA", at positions 355 to 511 of the family's 1533-position model. The record is from RNAcentral.